This 253-nucleotide ribosomal RNA is filed under the name uncultured bacterium. RNAcentral's name for it is "partial 16S ribosomal RNA". It matches the Rfam family "Bacterial small subunit ribosomal RNA", at positions 524 to 776 of the family's 1533-position model. The record is from RNAcentral.
GACAGAGGUUGCAAGCGUUGUUCGGAAUUACUGGGCAUAAAGCGCACGUAGGCGGUCCGCUAAGUCAUGUGUGAAAUCCCCCGGCUCAACCGGGGAAUGGCGCCUGAUACUGGCGGACUCGAGAUCGGUAGGGGUGAGUGGAACUCCAGGUGGAGCGGUGAAAUGCGUAGAUAUCUGGAGGAAUACCGGUGGCGAAGGCGGCAUCCUGGACCGGCAUUGACGCUGAGGAGCGAAAGCCAGGGGAGCAAACGGG